Molecule: ribosomal RNA, 253 nt
Filed under: uncultured bacterium
Lineage: Bacteria
Description: partial 16S ribosomal RNA
Rfam family: Bacterial small subunit ribosomal RNA
Source: RNAcentral
UACGGAGGAUCCUAGCGUUGUCCGGAUUUAUUGGGUUUAAAGGGUGCGUAGGCGGACCAUUAAGUCAGAGGUGAAAGUUUGCAGCUUAACUGUAAAAUUGCCUUUGAAACUGGUGGUCUUGAGUAUAGUUGAGGUGGGCGGAAUGUGUCAUGUAGCGGUGAAAUGCUUAGAUAUGAUACAGAACACCGAUUGCGAAGGCAGCUCACUAAACUAUAACUGACGCUGAGGCACGAAAGCGUGGGGAGCAAACAGG